CAGCCGCCGCGGUAAAACGUAGGUGGCAAGCGUUGUCCGGAAUUAUUGGGCGUAAAGGGCUCGCAGGCGGUUUCUUAAGUCUGAUGUGAAAGCCCCCGGCUCAACCGGGGAGGGUCAUUGGAAACGGGGAAACUUGAGUGCAGGAGAGGAGAGUGGAAUUCCACGUGUAGCGGUGAAAUGCGUAGAGAUGCGGAGGAACACCAGUGGCGAGGGCGACUCUCUGGUCUGUAACUGACGCUGAGGAGCGAAAGCGUGGGGAGCGAACAGGAUUAGAUACCCCUGUAGUCCCUGUCUCUUAUAC
This 301-nucleotide ribosomal RNA is filed under the name uncultured bacterium. RNAcentral describes it as "partial 16S ribosomal RNA". It matches the Rfam family "Bacterial small subunit ribosomal RNA", at positions 509 to 807 of the family's 1533-position model. The record is from RNAcentral.